RNAcentral lists this ribosomal RNA (445 nucleotides) under uncultured bacterium. RNAcentral's name for it is "partial 16S ribosomal RNA". It matches the Rfam family "Bacterial small subunit ribosomal RNA", at positions 354 to 796 of the family's 1533-position model. The record is from RNAcentral.
GUGAGGAAUAUUGGUCAAUGGGCGAGAGCCUGAACCAGCCAAGUCGCGUGAAGGAAGAAGGAUCUAUGGUUCGUAAACUUCUUUUGCAGGGGAAUAAAGUGCGGGACGUGUCCUGUUUUGUAUGUACUCUGAGAAUAAGGAUCGGCUAACUCCGUGCCAGCAGCCGCGGUAAUACGGAGGAUCCGAGCGUUAUCCGGAUUUAUUGGGUUUAAAGGGUGCGUAGGUGGGUUGAUAAGUCAGCGGUGAAAGUUUGCAGCUUAACUGUGAAAAUGCAGUUGAAACUGUCGGACUUGAGUGUAAAUGAGGUAGGCUGAAUGCGUGGUGUAGCGGUGAAAUGCAUAGAUAUCACGCAGAACUCCGAUUGCGAAGGCAGCUUACUAAGCUACAACUGACACUGAAGCACGAAAGCGUGGGGGUCAAACAGGAUUAGAAACCCCAGUAGUCC